AUCCACCUGAUGAGUCCCAAAUAGAACGAAAUGCGCGUCAAACUGGAU
Molecule: non-coding RNA, 48 nt
Organism: Schistosoma rodhaini
Lineage: Eukaryota; Metazoa; Platyhelminthes; Trematoda; Strigeidida; Schistosomatidae
Source: Rfam